CAAGGAAUUUUGUGCAAUGGGCGAAAGCCUGACACAGCAACGCCGCGUGAGGGAGGAAGGCCUUCGGGUUGUAAACCUCUUUUCUCAGGGAGGAAUAAUGACAGUACCUGAGGAAUAAGCCACGGCUAACUACGUGCCAGCAGCCGCGGUAAAACGUAGGUGGCGAGCGUUAUCCGGAUUUAUUGGGCGUAAAGAGGGCGCAGGCGGCUUUUCAAGUCGGAUGUAAAAUCUCCCAGCUUAACUGGGAGGGAUCAUUCGAUACUGUUAAGCUUGAGGACAACAGAGGGAGGUAGAAUUCCCGGUGUAGUGGUGAAAUGCGUAGAUAUCGGGAGGAAUACCAGAGGCGAAGGCGGCCUCCUGGGUUGUAGCUGACGCUUAAGCCCGAAGGCGUGGGGAGCGAACAGG
Molecule: ribosomal RNA, 405 nt
Filed under: uncultured bacterium
Lineage: Bacteria
Description: bacterial SSU rRNA
Rfam family: Bacterial small subunit ribosomal RNA
Source: RNAcentral